Molecule: ribosomal RNA, 254 nt
Filed under: uncultured bacterium
Lineage: Bacteria
Description: partial 16S ribosomal RNA
Rfam family: Bacterial small subunit ribosomal RNA
Source: RNAcentral
UACGUAGGGUGCGAGCGUUGUCCGGAAUUAUUGGGCGUAAAGAGCUCGUAGGCGGUCUGUCGCGUCGAUCGUGAAAACUUGGGGCUUAACUCUGAGCUUGCGGUCGAUACGGGCAUGACUGGAGUUCGGCAGGGGAGACUGGAAUUCCUGGUGUAGCGGUGAAAUGCGUAGAUAUCAGGAGGAACACCGGUGGCGAAGGCGCACAUCUGGCCCGAUACUGACGCUGAGGCGCGAAAGCUAGGGGAGCAAACGGG